GAUGAACGCUGGCGGCGUGCCUAAUACAUGCAAGUCGAGCGAACGGACGAGAAGCUUGCUUCUCUGAUGUUAGCGGCGGACGGGUGAGUAACACGUGGAUAACCUACCUAUAAGACUGGGAUAACUUCGGGAAACCGGAGCUAAUACCGGAUAAUAUUUUGAACCGCAUGGUUCAAAAGUGAAAGACGGUCUUGCUGUCACUUAUAGAUGGAUCCGCGCUGCAUUAGCUAGUUGGUAAGGUAACGGCUUACCAAGGCAACGAUGCAUAGCCGACCUGAGAGGGUGAUCGACCACACUGGAACUGAGACACGGUCCAGACUCCUACGGGAGGCAGCAGUAGGGAAUCUUCCGCAAUGGGCGAAAGCCUGACGUAGCAACGCCGCGUGAGUGAUGAAGGUCUUCGGAUCGUAAAACUCUGUUAUUAGGGAAGAACAUAUGUGUAAGUAACUGUGCACAUCUUGACGGUACCUAAUCAGAAAGCCACGGCUAACUACGUG
Molecule: ribosomal RNA, 497 nt
Filed under: uncultured bacterium
Lineage: Bacteria
Description: partial 16S ribosomal RNA
Rfam family: Bacterial small subunit ribosomal RNA
Source: RNAcentral